CAAAUUUUGAUCUGAAAUCAGGUAGGGCUACCCGCUGAACUUAAGCAUAUCAAUAAGCGGAGGAAAAGAAACUAACAAGGAUUCCCCUAGUAACGGCGAGUGAAGCGGGAAGAGCUCAAAUUUAAAAUCUAGUUUGCUUGCAAACUCGAGUUGUAGUCUGAAGAAACGUUUUCCAUGAAAGCUGAGGCACAAGUCCUUUGGAACAGGGCAUCAUAGAGGGUGAGAAUCCCGUCCAUGGUCUCAAGUMUUUCAUUUUGUGAUACGUUUUCUAAGAGUCAGGUUGUUUGGGAAUGCAGCCUAAAAUGGGUGGUAAAUUUCAUCUAAAGCUAAAUAUUGGCGAGAGACCGAUAGCGAACAAGUACCGUGAGGGAAAGAUGAAAAGAACUUUGAAAAGAGAGUUAAAAAGUACGUGAAAUUGUUGAAAGGGAACCGUUUGAAGCCAGUCUUGUUUUUUUGUGAUCAGUCUCAGCUUUGGCUGGGAUGCACUCUCAAUUUUACAGGUCAACGUCAGUUUGAGAAGUGGGAAAAAAAUUUGAGGAAUGUGGCCUUCGGGUGUUAAUAGCCUCUUAUUAAAUACCAUUUCUUGGACUGAGGCUCGCAGCAAAAAUCUUGGCAGACUUGCUUCUGAGGUGAACCAUUACUAAGACAGCUUGCUGACUUAGUUUUGUCUAGCUUCACAGUAAGUUUCGCUUCUAAUUUGCUUAGGUCGUUGACAUAAUGGCUUUAAAUGACCCGUCUUGAAACACGGACCAAGGAGUCUAACAUAUAUGCGAGUAUUUGGGUGACAAACCCACAUGCGCAAUGAAAGUGAAAUUAGGUGCCAAACUCUUACGAGUGGCAGCAUCGGCCGGCUCUGACGUUUUAACUGACGAGUCUGAGCAGAAGCAUACAUGUUGGGACCCGAAAGAUGGUGAACUAUGCCUGAAUAGGGUGAAGCCAGAGGAAACUCUGGUGGAGGCUCGUAGCGAUUCUGACGUGCAAAUCGAUCGUCAAAUUUGGGUAUAGGGGCGAAAGACUAAUCGACCAUCAGGGCCC
This 1035-nucleotide ribosomal RNA is filed under the name Umbelopsis vinacea. RNAcentral's name for it is "partial 28S ribosomal RNA". It matches the Rfam family "Eukaryotic large subunit ribosomal RNA", at positions 1 to 951 of the family's 3401-position model. The record is from RNAcentral. Lineage: Eukaryota; Fungi; Mucoromycota; Umbelopsidomycetes; Umbelopsidales; Umbelopsidaceae.